GCCGGGGCUUCUUCUGCGAGUAACGUCAUUAUCCUCCUCGCUGAAAGAGCUUUACAACCCUAAGGCCUUCAUCGCUCACGCGGCAUGGCUGGAUCAGGGUUGCCCCCAUUGUCCAAUGUUCCCC
RNAcentral lists this ribosomal RNA (124 nucleotides) under uncultured bacterium. Its description in RNAcentral is "partial 16S ribosomal RNA". The record is from RNAcentral.